CACUGACAUUAGAUACCCCCGGUAGUCCCAGCCGUAAACUAUGCGCGUUAGGUGUACUGGUGACCACGAGUCACCGGGGUGCCGAAGGGAAACCGUGAAACGUGCCGCCUGGGAAGUACGGUCGCAAGGCUGAAACUUAAAGGAAUUGGCGGGGAGCACCACAACGGGUGGAGCCUGCGGUUUAAUUGGAUUCAACGCCGGACAUCUCACCGGAUAAGACAGCUGAAUGAUUGUCAAUCUGAAGGUUUUACAUGACUAGCUG
Molecule: ribosomal RNA, 262 nt
Filed under: uncultured archaeon
Lineage: Archaea
Description: partial 16S ribosomal RNA
Rfam family: Archaeal small subunit ribosomal RNA
Source: RNAcentral